This 3097-nucleotide ribosomal RNA is filed under the name Kytococcus schroeteri. Its description in RNAcentral is "bacterial LSU rRNA". It matches the Rfam family "Bacterial large subunit ribosomal RNA". Lineage: Bacteria; Bacillati; Actinomycetota; Actinomycetes; Micrococcales; Kytococcaceae. The record is from RNAcentral.
ACAGUGGACGCGAGCAUCUUUGUGUCAAGUUUUUAAGGGCACAUGGUGGAUGCCUUGGCAUCAGAAACCGAUGAAGGACGUGAGAAUCUGCGAUAAGCCUCGGGUAGUCGAUAACUAGACGUUGAUCCGAGGAUUUCCGAAUGGGGUAACCCGGCUGGAGGCAAGUCCAGUCACCGCUACCUGAAUAUAUAGGGUAGAGGGAGGGAACGUGGGGAAGUGAAACAUCUCAGUACCCACAGGAAGAGAAAACAAUUGUGAUUCCGUGAGUAGUGGCGAGCGAAAGCGGAUGAGGCUAAACCGGUCACGUGUGAUACCUGGUAGGGGUUGCGUGGUCGGGGUUGUGGGAGCGAUCGUCCGAGGUCUACCAGCCUCGGGGGCAGUGAGAAAUGUUGGUGGUAGUCGAACGGUCUUGAAGGGCCGGGCAGAGAGGGUGCGACCCCCGUAGACGAAACUGCUGGCACUGUUUGUGUUGUUUCCCGAGUAGCACGGGGCCCGUGAAAUCUCGUGUGAAUCUGCCGGGACCACCCGGUAAGCCUAAAUAUUCUCUGAUGACCGAUAGCGGACAAGUACCGUGAGGGAAAGGUGAAAAGUACCCCGGGAGGGGAGUGAAAUAGUUCCUGAAACCAUGUGCCUACAAUCCGUAGGAGCCCUUCGGGGUGACUGCGUGCCUUUUGAAGAAUGAGCCUGCGAGUUAGUGCUCAGUGGCAAGGUUAACCCGUGUGGGGAAGCCGUAGCGAAAGCGAGUCCGAAGAGGGCGUCAUAGUCGCUGGGUCUAGACCCGAAGCGGAGUGAUCUACCCAUGGCCAGGUUGAAGCGCCGGUAAGACGGCGUGGAGGACCGAACCCACUUAGGUUGAAAACUGAGGGGAUGAGCUGUGGGUAGGGGUGAAAGGCCAAUCAAACUCCGUGAUAGCUGGUUCUCCCCGAAAUGCAUUUAGGUGCAGCGUCACGUGUUUCUUGCCAGAGGUAGAGCUACUGGAUAGCUAAUGGGCCCCACCGGGUUACUGACGUUAGCCAAACUCCGAAUGCUGGUAAGUGAAGCGUGGCAGUGAGACUGCGGGGGAUAAGCUUCGUAGUCGAGAGGGAAACAGCCCAGAUCACCAACUAAGGUCCCUAAGCGUGUGCUAAGUGGGAAAGGAUGUGGAGUUGCUGUGACAACCAGGAGGUUGGCUUAGAAGCAGCCACCCUUUAAAGAGUGCGUAACAGCUCACUGGUCAAGUGAUUCCGCGCCGACAAUGUAGCGGGGCUCAAGCACACCACCGAAGUUGUGGCAACGAAAGUUGGGUAGGGGAGCGUCGUGUAGCGAGUGAAGCGGCGGAGUGAUCCAGUCGUGGAUGCUGCACGAGUGAGAAUGCAGGCAUGAGUAGCGAAAGACGGGUGAGAAACCCGUCCACCGAAUAACCAAGGGUUCCAGGGUCAAGCUAAUCUGCCCUGGGUAAGUCGGGACCUAAGGCGAGGCCGACAGGCGUAGUCGAUGGACAUCCGGUUGAUAUUCCGGAACCGGCGAAGGACCGCCCCUGGCGAGGCUGUGGAUGCUAACCGUGUGAUCACUGCUGAUCGGCACUUUGUGUUGUGAUGAUGGUGUGAGCCCGGGACCCGAGACAGUAGUAGCCAAGCGAUGGAGAGACGCAAGAAGGUAGCUGCUGCGUGGCGAUGGUUGUCCACGUCCAAGGGUGUAGGGUGAUGUAUAGGUAAAUCCGUGCAUCGUGUGCCUGAGACCUGAUGGUGACCGCGUAUGCGGGAAGUCAGUGAUCCUAUGUUGCCGAGAAAAUCUUCUAGCGAGGUUCUAGCCGCCCGUACCCCAAACCGACUCAGGUGGUUAGGUAGAGAAUACCAAGGUGAUCGAGUGAAUCGUGGUUAAGGAAUUCGGCAAAAUACCCCCGUAACUUCGGGAGAAGGGGGGCCUGAUCCGUGAAACCACUUGCUGGUGGCAGCGGUGAUGGCCGCAGAGACCAGGGAGAAGCGACUGUUUACUAAAAACACAGGUCCGUGCGAAGUCGCAAGACGAUGUAUACGGACUGACGCCUGCCCGGUGCUGGAAGGUUAAGGGGACGAGUCAACCCUUUUGGGUGCAGCUCUGAACUUAAGCCCCAGUAAACGGCGGUGGUAACUAUAACCAUCCUAAGGUAGCGAAAUUCCUUGUCGGGUAAGUUCCGACCUGCACGAAUGGCGUAACGACUUCUCCACUGUCUCAACCGCGAACUCGGCGAAAUUGCACUACGAGUAAAGAUGCUCGUUACGCGCAGCAGGACGGAAAGACCCCGGGACCUUUACUACAGCUUGGUAUUGGUAUUCGGUGCGGCUUGUGUAGGAUAGGUGGGAGACUGUGAAGCGCACGCGCCAGCGUGUGUGGAGUCAUCGUUGAAAUACCACUCUGGUCGCUCUGGGUAUCUAACUUCGGUCCGUGAUCCGGAUCAGGGACAGUGUCUGGUGGGUAGUUUAACUGGGGCGGUUGCCUCCUAAAGGGUAACGGAGGCGCUCAAAGGUUCCCUCAGCCUGGUUGGUAACCAGGUUUCGAGUGUAAGUGCACAAGGGAGCUUGACUGUGAGACGUACAGGUCGAGCAGGGACGAAAGUCGGAACUAGUGACCCGACGGUGGAUUGUGGAAUCGCCGUCGCUCAACGGAUAAAAGGUACCCCGGGGAUAACAGGCUGAUCCUGCCCAAGAGCUCAUAUCGACGGCAUGGUUUGGCACCUCGAUGUCGGCUCGUCGCAUCCUGGGGCUGGAGUAGGUCCCAAGGGUUGGGCUGUUCGCCCAUUAAAGCGGUACGCGAGCUGGGUUUAGAACGUCGUGAGACAGUUCGGUCCCUAUCCGCUGCGCGCGUAGGAAACUUGAGAAGGGCUGUCCCUAGUACGAGAGGACCGGGAUGGACGAACCUCUGGUGUGUCAGUUGUUCUGCCAAGGGCACCGCUGAUUAGCUACGUUCGGAAGUGAUAACCGCUGAAAGCAUCUAAGCGGGAAGCACGCUUCAAGAUGAGGUUUCCAUGCCCCUUGUGGGUGAGAGGCUCCCAGCUAGACUACUGGGUUGAUAGGCCGGAUGUGGAAGCACAGUAAUGUGUGGAGCUGACCGGUACUAAUAAGCCGAUGACUUGCUACAA